AUGUACAGCAUAAACACAAAUUCUUCAGGAUUUUUAACAUCCUGUACUCACAGACAUAGUUUUGUUCAUUGUGGAUUGUGGAGAAUUUUGCAGAAAGACUCUGGCAUAGCCCAUUAUUGGCAUUGGAAGAAGCAGACUUCUACUAGAGACAUCAUAAAACCAGACAGCAAAAGCUCAGAUGAUUUAUAAUUUCACAGCAACAACCAAAAUCAGAUUUCAUUAAUAUGAAUCACUGGGUUUUUUAUAUAUUAUUAUUUCCAAUAACAUGUUUAUUAGAAAUAAUGUUCUUUGUGAAAGGAAGAUGAAAUUCAUAGACUGUCAGAAGGAUGAAGUUAUAAAUCUUUCCAUAACUACUCAUGCAAAAUCUGCACAAGUUCAGUGAUGGUUCAAGAGGAUUCCCAAAGGAGCAUGCCAGAAUUCUUUCACACAAGACAGAAGAGAACAGGAUUGCAGAGCUGAAAGUUGUAGGAAAACAGACAGGUAAGUCCACCUCUAUGUGUGAGGACUAGAACUACACAGAAUCCAUGUUUCCUUUGUUCUUUCAGGUUCUAGUUCCCACGUCAAGUCACAUUAUGCUCAGUGCAGGAUCUGACAGUUUAAGUCAAUACAUCGCCCUUUUGCUUGAUUUUAUUUUUAGGCUGUUGUGAAAGGUUGUAGUUAAGAGCAAAAAGAUUUAGAUAUGGUUCAGACUUAUGCUAAACUUGUAAUAAUGGCAGAUCAGCCUCAGAAGUAAUAUUAGACCUUUUUCUAAGUAUUAUUAAAUGCAAAAGGAUAAGAAUUUUAACCACAGAAACACUUGAUGUUUGAAAUGAGACUUUCUCCCAAGCUGCUAUAUACAAUUAAAACCAAGAGGUGGCCUUUGCAAGGGGAGAAGCAAUUUAAGACAUUAUCAUUUUAGUUUUCAAACAUUUACCUGCCUCCCUAUACAAUACACCUUUUUCACUUCCAACAUUGUUAAUGGAUCUGUACUGAGGCAUCCAACAAGCAAUCACAUGGGAGAAAAUAUUUACUCCAGUAGUAGGUGGAGAGCUUAUUCAGCAUGUUUCACAGACACAGAAAAAGGGAUGGGAGUAUCUAACUUUCAUGUAAAAGGUCAUCCACUGCUCUGUUUCAUAUCUCACUAGGAGUUUAUUUAGCAUCACCCUUUGUCCCUGAAACAAUCACAUCUUGAACUAGAAGUUGCUGAAGA
Molecule: long non-coding RNA, 1189 nt
Filed under: Coturnix japonica (Japanese quail)
Lineage: Eukaryota; Metazoa; Chordata; Aves; Galliformes; Phasianidae
Description: lncRNA (ENSCJPG00005000208.1)
Source: RNAcentral